GAAAUAUAAAUAGUAAGCUUCUAACUUAUAAAAUAGCGUUUUAACGUUAAUAUUUCU
RNAcentral lists this transfer RNA (57 nucleotides) under Formicomus sp. FOR01. RNAcentral describes it as "tRNA-Ser". The record is from RNAcentral. Lineage: Eukaryota; Metazoa; Arthropoda; Insecta; Coleoptera; Anthicidae.